RNAcentral lists this ribosomal RNA (427 nucleotides) under Leucauge magnifica. Its description in RNAcentral is "partial 16S ribosomal RNA". The record is from RNAcentral. Lineage: Eukaryota; Metazoa; Arthropoda; Arachnida; Araneae; Tetragnathidae.
UUAUUUAGUUUUUCUGCUCAUGGUUUUAUAUAAAUAGCCGCAGAAUUUAACUGUGCUAAGGUAGCAUAAUCAUUAGUUUUUUAAUUAAAAACUAGAAUGAACGAAAUAACAAUUCAACAACUUUUUUAAUUUUAAUUAUAAAAAUUUUAUUAAAUAUAAAAAUAUAUUUAUAAAUAAGAAAGACGACAAGACCCUAUCAAACUUUACUUUAGUUUAGCUGGGGCAGCUAAUUAAAAAUAAUUUUAAUACUAAUAUUUUUAUAAAAGACCCAAUAUAAUUGAUUAAAUGAACAAGUUACUGUAGGGAUAACAGCGUUAAAUUUUUUUGAAGUUCUUAUUUAAAAAAAAGAUUGCGACCUCGAUGUUGAAUUAUUUAACUUUAAAAAGCAAAAUUUUUAUAAGUAGGCCUGUUCGGCCUUUAAAUUUUU